Molecule: long non-coding RNA, 777 nt
Organism: Helianthus annuus (common sunflower)
Lineage: Eukaryota; Viridiplantae; Streptophyta; Magnoliopsida; Asterales; Asteraceae
Exons: 2
Source: RefSeq, a predicted model, not a curated record
GGGCAGAUGUUGUCUUACCUCUUCACAUACCUCUUCAACCUCUUCCAAAUACAAAACUCUCAAAACCCUAGUUUCCUUCUCCAUUCCUCAGGCGACCUCCCCUACUCCUCCACCUCCAGCCGCCGCCACGCCGAGCACCACCGUCUCCAGCCGCCCCCACGCCGCCCUCCACCCUCUCCAGCAGUCGUUCCACCACUCCACCGAUCUCCACCCCAUCCAGCCGAUCUGAACCCUUCCACAGCCGCAGCCCCCUCAUUCUCCACCCCCUCCACCGAUCUCCACCCCAUCCAGCCGAUCUGAACCUCUCCAGCAGUUGUGCUCCACCCCCUCCAUAUGCGCAGCCCUCGAUCUCCACCCCCUCCACCGCUGCAGACCUUGUAUCUCCACUCCUCCAACAUCUAAGGGUCAUGAUGCUGGGCAUAUGGUUCCUAUGGGUCAACCAAAGGUAGCUCCAAGCAUGUUAAAGAGGUGGACAAGGGGAUCACUUUCUCAAAGUGGAGCUGAGGCCGAAUCUGUUGUUUCUUCCAUGUGAUGUCUAUAGCGAGAUUGGUGGUGCGUCUAAGUUCUAAAGACUUUUAACCAAGUUGAACAAUAACAACAUCACUGGCUAACAUAUUGGAUGGUUUCAUCUGCGGAAUGCAAAGCACGGAUUCAAUGAUUUAAAAAAAUGUUAUUGUCUUUUUAUGAAUAUUAUUUCAGUAUUGUAUAACUAUUAUUUAUGUUUGAAUGUUAAAAAACUCUUUUAAGUUAAAUAAAAUCAGUUUAUUUAUAUUUCAA